AGCGGAGCCUGCGUUCCGGCGCCCCUCCCCCAGCCGAGCCCCGUCCGCGCCUGCGCACGGCGGGGACCCGGGCCCCAGGGUGCGGGGCCGCGGAAGGCGCCGCCGGGAGCUCCGCGGCCCAGGCCGGCUGGGUUGCGUCGAACGCCGAGCUAUCGACCCGCAGUUGCUAGGCAACCAGGCUGCAGUGCGGGUAGCGAAAAUGAAAAGUGCAUGUUACCUUCUCUGCUCUUCUCCAGAUGUGGACACCUUCGUUCAAGAAUUGUUCCUCCAGAUGAACGGUUCAGUCAGCCAUCCAUUCUCCAAGCCUUGAGUUUGGUGCCUUUCUCUAAUUCACACCAACAUGCCAGACACGGACAAGGAAAAUGCUUUGCAAAACUUGUGGCAGGAGAAGGGAGCCUUAAAGAAGAGAGAAAAGACAAAAGCCUCAAGGUGUUUUUCCGGUUGCUUCGGGCAGAUCAUUUGGAGUAAACAGGUAAGCGUAGCACUUGUCAAAAAAACAUGUCAGGGCGACACCCUGGCUCCUGACGAAUAGGCAGAAAGUCUGAUCAUAAAUGUAGGGGGUUUUUGCUUCUCGUUUUUAAGUUGGACUUUUAAAAGUAGAAGCUGCCUUUAAUGUGCUGGGUUUGCAGAACAAGAAAUCUGAUUUUAAAAGUGAUAACACAUUUUUUGACAUUAACCAGCACUGUUGGAUUUUUUUUUUUCACUGUUGGAUUUUUAAUGACACUUUCAUCUUCAAAGCCUUUCACCAACAGGAUGGAUUAAUUAUUCUCUUUCUUUCUUUCUUUCUUUCUUUCUUUCUUUCUUUCUUUCUUUCUUUGGUUGUGUGUUAAAAAGACAAGUCUUCAAAGCCAUCAUCCUUUAUCCUUGGAAUUGGGGCUCUUCACCUUUCAAAUGUUGCUUUCCUGUCCCCAAGGGAGAAAGUAAAUGAAUGUAUCUUUGUUUUUUAAGACAGAAAGAAGAAUACAAUAGAAAUACACUUUUUGCACUAUGGGGAAAUGUUCUUAUAUCCUGGGUGGGAUUAGAAGAGGUCGGGAAGCAGUGUUUAACCCGUGUUUACAGUAAGCACUGUGAGAAAUAACUGGCUAAAAGUGUUUGUUACUGUUCAACCUUUUGAUGUGCUCUUAAAAACAACCACACAUGCAUAAAACGACCUGCGUUCAACAUAAGCAGGAGCAUAAUACUCAGACCCUUCUAUUCGUUGCUAAGGUAUAUUCCUUCCCUCUUCUCUUCAAAAAAUGUCUAAUUGAGUUUUUAAAAGGUUUGGUUUGGGAGAAGGAAACCCUCAAGCCUCCCCCAAGGCCCCUCUUUACUUGACACAUCUUAUAACCACAAGGGAGCAGUCUUUCCUUUGAUGAGGUCUUACACUCCACCUCCGCAGAAAUGGAAGAGCAAGUGUAAGUUUGCAAACAGUCUGAAAGCUUUUUCCAUUAGCCCUGGACGCCGGAAACCACAAAGGGCAGGCAAGUUU
RNAcentral lists this long non-coding RNA (1468 nucleotides) under Vulpes vulpes (red fox). RNAcentral's name for it is "lncRNA (ENSVVUG00000023399.1)". Lineage: Eukaryota; Metazoa; Chordata; Mammalia; Carnivora; Canidae. The record is from RNAcentral.